This 28-nucleotide non-coding RNA is filed under the name Rattus norvegicus (Norway rat). Lineage: Eukaryota; Metazoa; Chordata; Mammalia; Rodentia; Muridae. The record is from RNAcentral.
GCUACCACUUCGGAGGCAAGCUCACAAA